AAAAUAACAUUUUGAAACCGGAAGUUGAUCAAUUUUAACCUGGAAGGUUUACCACGAACUUAGGAUACACAGGGACCGAGACACUGAGCAAUAAAAAGGAAGAUUAUGACUUCAAAUGUCGUCAGUGGGGAAGCCUUGUUCCAGGUGCUUUUUUGCAGGGACUCUUGGUACAGGACAUGACAGGACUACCUAGCUCUGCCAUUGGGCAUCAGGCGCUUAGCAACAUGGAGAGAAAGGUAAAGGUCUAAUGGCAGUUCAACAUGGUUGGCAGAUAUUUGUGGCUCUGCAAUGCAUCAUGCGGUUAUUUUCGAAGCAAGACCUGACUUCUAGAUUUCAGCCUCUUCUUUUGUACAUUCAUCAUUAUAAAGAAUAACCAAUUAAAUGUGAAGUUACAUUUAUCAUUUAAUUUUGUAAAUUUCUGCUGGACUUUAAAAAAGUAGUUAUGUUUCACUUGUGUGUUGAUCAAUUAUUGUUACCAAUGUGUUUGACUGCACACAUUUUUACAUUUACUGCUUAAUUAUGUGAUUUGUGUAGACAUAUUGUAUUCUCUGCGCAAUGUUGGUGGUUCUGUCAUAUAUAUUAGCCAUGCUCUUGGAAAUCUGGGCUUAAUGUGCAUUACAAUACUUUCCUCCUUAACUUCAUUCUCGUUUGAAGGACAAUUCCAUUUUAAAAAAUGCAUAUAAAGAAAGUAAUGUCCUUGAUGCGCUUGUACUUUAACCCUUUGAAUGCUGGGAAAUUUGUCUUCUGCUAAAAUGUCGUCUGCUGAAUUUCUAAAAUUAGCCUUUUCUUCGAUUUUUUUUCCAAGAAUACUAUCAGAAUAGCAAACAGUUUGGAUUCUGAUGAGACGCCAUGUUCUGUGGCGUCUCAUCUGGAUCAAAACUGUUUGCAAAGGCCUUCAAAAUUCGGUUCCAGCACUGAAAGGGUUAAGAAGAGUUUUCAUUAAUAAUGAAUAUGCAUUAAGCCCCAUUUUUCCAGAGCAUGCUCAUAUUUUGUUCAGUCACUAUUUUGAAUGCUAUGGAUCCCAUAGGUUGCGGUUUAGUCUGUCAUUAUCUUCCUUUUUGUUGUAAAUAUGAUGCUCAUGCUUCCCUUAAUAUUUGAUAAAUUAUAAAAGGAAGUCUCAAUAAAAUAUAUUUGACAUACUGUAUGUGGUUUAAUGACCUAACUUGUUGAAAUUUCAAACCAUUAAACUCCCUUUAAAUAAACUCCUCAAAUUAUGACUAUAAAAUUUGAAUCUGAAUAAGGAUUUAACAGGACACUCCUGCAUUUAAAUAGAUACUUUCCAUAUUCACAUAACGUGUCAAGCAGUUUUAUGAAUGAAUUCUUUAUCUGCUGCGUCUUGUUUACAUGGAUAGAGUGACCGUAUUUAAAUUACUCAAUUUCCUGUGCUUUAAAAGCUUUGCUGUUGAUAAGUAACCGUUUAAGGAUAAAUAUAAGAUAACUGUCAUAAUGUUGUGAAAGCUUAUACUUGAUGGGCGAAAGUUUACCUGUCCCCGAGCGUUUUACCGUCGCCCUGAUUUGCUGAUAUUAUGUGACGAUCGUGUAGCACACACGUGAUAAUUUCUGUUUCUUGGUGCAAUUACCAGUCAAUGGACAAUAUUGUAAACGUUUCUUUCUAUCUUUUAUUUGUGUUGUUUAGUUAUAAAUAUUGUGAAAGUCCACAUUUCUUAAUUAAAUAUUAGUUUUACUUACCAGGAAAAUGCAGCUUUAUUAGACAUAGCAACACAAAGCUUUUGCCUGAAUUAAGUUUAGAGUAAUACUCAUUUUUUUUAAUUAUUCUGUUUUAUUUUUUUCACAUCCUACUUUAAACACUGCAAUAUAAUCUCCAAAUGCUACCUGUUUUUUCCUUGUUCAAGAAAUGUGACAUUCAUAUAUGAUUAUACAAUAACAUUUAUAUAUAUAUGAACAUUUUACAUCAUUUUUAUGUAAUAUUGUGAAACAUAUUGCACAUUGCUGUAGUUUGUUGUUAUUUAUUUUCUUUUAAUGAAAUUCAUAAAAUGAUAAAAAGAAGCAUUUUAUUGUAGUUUUUGUUUCAAUUUUAGUUCAUGUUUGGUAAUAUGAAUGUUUUAUGUUCAAAGAAAGUAACAGCUCUUUAUGCCUUGCUUUAUGUUAAAAUUGUUUUACAUACCCUGGUUUAUUGUUGUAAUAAAUUCUACUCCAUUUUAUGGUGGUUUGACAGUAUGGUUAUGAAAAUUCAGGAUGCAAGUGGGUGGAUGAUUGGGAUACUCAACAAGGAUAAAAAAACAGGCCUCUUGAUUCUUUUGUUACAUUUUGUUUCUGUAAUAAUUAUAUGGGGCAUGCUCUGUGAAAAGGGGGUUUAAUGCAUGUGCGUAAAGUGUCCCAGAUUAGCCUAUUCAGUCUGCACAGGCUGGGAUUAUAGUUUAAGUCCGCUUUUUCCAGGAGGCACCUCAUAUAACAAUGUUAUUCCUGUAAAAUUACUACAUCCAAUCUGAUGAUUAACACAUUAUAUUCAGUGUUCAAUGUUCCGUCCGCACAGGCUUAUCUGGGACGAUUUGUUCAGAUACUAGGAAACUUUUCGUUGAAAGGUGGUCUCUUCUAAAUGAAAAUUGAGUCAAGGCUAAAAUUGUCAUCCCUGAUUACAUGUCGGACUGCACGGGCUAAUCUGGGAAAACACUACGCAUAGGCAUUGAGCCCAGUUUACUGAGAGCGCCAAUCACACAUUCUCGGCCCUUUCCGUCAAACAUCGGAUUAAUGAUAAUUUGCGAGGGGUACCGAUUGUGAGAGCGUGGCUCGUACAUAUUUGUGAAAUAUGUAAUUUGCUAUGAAAAGUUUUUAAACAAUCAAUCAAUUGCAAUAUGCAUGAAUAGCACAUAUUGUGGUAUUACAUGUAGUUGCAACAUUACCUGAACCAUGGGCAAAGUUGGUGUUUCUGUUCUAAAACGAAAUAAAAGUGUUGUUUUUA
RNA transcript from Dreissena polymorpha, 2920 nucleotides. RefSeq lists it as uncharacterized. The transcript is spliced from 3 exons. The record is from RefSeq and is a predicted model, not a curated record. Lineage: Eukaryota; Metazoa; Mollusca; Bivalvia; Myida; Dreissenidae.